Molecule: unclassified non-coding RNA, 200 nt
Filed under: Inocybe sp.
Lineage: Eukaryota; Fungi; Basidiomycota; Agaricomycetes; Agaricales; Inocybaceae
Description: partial internal transcribed spacer 2
Source: RNAcentral
UUAAGUUCAGCGGGUAGUCCUACCUGAUUUGAGGUCAAAUUUGUCAAAUGUUGGUUGUUAUAAGCGGUGCUGACCAGCAAUUACCAAAGGCAUAGAUAAAUUAUCACACCAAUAGCAGCUCAGAUUACCACUAAUGCAUUUCAGGGGAGCCAGCUUUCAUUAGAAAAAGAAGCCUGCAAACCCCCACAUCCAAGCGCACA